Molecule: transfer RNA, 90 nt
Filed under: Armatimonadota bacterium
Lineage: Bacteria; Bacillati; Armatimonadota
Description: Armatimonadetes bacterium (hot springs metagenome) tRNA-Leu
Rfam family: tRNA
About the family: Transfer RNA (tRNA) molecules are approximately 80 nucleotides in length. Their secondary structure includes four short double-helical elements and three loops (D, anti-codon, and T loops).
Source: RNAcentral
GCCGAGGUGGCGGAAUAUGGCAGACGCGCUGGCUUGAGGGGCCAGUGGUCCGAGAGGACCGUGCGGGUUCGACUCCCGCCCUCGGCACCA